This 63-nucleotide transfer RNA is filed under the name Fukomys damarensis (Damara mole-rat). It matches the Rfam family "tRNA". Rfam says of the family: Transfer RNA (tRNA) molecules are approximately 80 nucleotides in length. Their secondary structure includes four short double-helical elements and three loops (D, anti-codon, and T loops). The record is from Rfam by way of RNAcentral. Lineage: Eukaryota; Metazoa; Chordata; Mammalia; Rodentia; Bathyergidae.
GGGGGUGUAGCUCAAUAGUAGAGUGCUUGCCUCACAUGCAAGAGGCCCGAGGUUUAACCUCCA